GUCGAGCGGUAGCACAGAGAAGCUUGCUUCUUGGGUGACGAGCGGCGGACGGGUGAGUAAUGCAUAGGAAUCUGCCCGAUAGUGGGGGAUAACCUGGGGAAACCCAGGCUAAUACCGCAUACGUCCUACGGGAGAAAGGGGGCUCCGGCUCCCGCUAUGGGAUGAGCCUAUGUCGGAUUAGCUAGUUGGUGAGGUAACGGCUCACCAAGGCAACGAUCCGUAACUGGUCUGAGAGGAUGAUCAGCCACAUCGGGACUGAGACACGGCCCGAACUCCUACGGGAGGCAGCAGUGGGGAAUAUUGGACAAUGGGCGCAAGCCUGAUCCAGCCAUGCCGCGUGUGUGAAGAAGGCCCUCGGGUUGUAAAGCACUUUCAGCGAGGAAGAACGCCUAGCGGUUAAUACCCGCUAGGAAAGACAUCACUCGCAGAAGAAGCACCGGCUAACUCCGUGCCAGCAGCCGCGGUAAUACGGAGGGUGCAAGCGUUAAUCGGAAUUACUGGGCGUAAAGCGCGCGUAGGUGGCUUGAUAAGCCGGUUGUGAAAGCCCCGGGCUCAACCAGCCAACGGCAUCCGGAACUGUCCUGCUAGAGUGCAGGAUAUUAAGGUAGAAUUCCCGGUGUAACGGCGAAACGACCAGAUCAACGUCAGG
RNAcentral lists this ribosomal RNA (649 nucleotides) under bacterium SCSIO13161. Its description in RNAcentral is "bacterial SSU rRNA". It matches the Rfam family "Bacterial small subunit ribosomal RNA", at positions 61 to 701 of the family's 1533-position model. The record is from RNAcentral.